UGGGGAAUUUUGGACAAUGGGCGAAAGCCUGAUCCAGCCAUGCCGCGUGAGUGAUGAAGGCCUUCGGGUUGUAAAGCUCUUUUGGCGGGGACGAUGAUGACGGUACCCGCAGAAUAAGCCCCGGCUAACUUCGUGCCAGCAGCCGCGGUAAGACGAAGGGGGGCUAGCGUUGUUCGGAAUUACUGGGCGUAAAGCGAGUGUAGGCGGUUGCCGUAGUCAGGUGUGAAAGCCUUGAGCUCAACUCAAGAAAUGCACUUGAUACUGGGUGACUAGAGGACCGGAGAGGAUAGUGGAAUUCCCAGUGUAGUGGUGAAAUACGUAGAGAUUGGGAAGAACACCAGUGGCGAAGGCGGCUAUCUGGACGGUUACUGACGCUAAGACUCGAAAGCGUGGGGGAGCAAAACAGGAUUAGAUACCCUGGUAGUCCACGCCGUAAACGAUGGGUGCUAGACGUUGGCGAGCUUGCUCGUCAGUGUCGCAGCUAACGCGUUAAG
Molecule: ribosomal RNA, 494 nt
Filed under: uncultured bacterium
Lineage: Bacteria
Description: partial 16S ribosomal RNA
Rfam family: Bacterial small subunit ribosomal RNA
Source: RNAcentral